Molecule: ribosomal RNA, 119 nt
Filed under: Desulfurococcaceae archaeon
Lineage: Archaea; Thermoproteati; Thermoproteota; Thermoprotei; Desulfurococcales; Desulfurococcaceae
Also listed under: 1 other name
Source: RNAcentral
GGCCCCGACCAUAGCGGCUAGGAAACACCCGGACUCGUCAGAUCCCGGAAGUUAAGCUAGCCGCGUUAGGUAGGGCUGUGAGAUCCGCGAGGUCUCGCAGCCCACCUAAGUCGGGGUCC